GAUGAACGCUGGCGGCGUGCCUAAUACAUGCAAGUCGAGCGAACAGACGAGGAGCUUGCUCCUCUGACGUUAGCGGCGGACGGGUGAGUAACACGUGGAUAACCUACCUAUAAGACUGGGAUAACUUCGGGAAACCGGAGCUAAUACCGGAGAAUAUAUUGAACCGCAUGGUUCAAUAGUGAAAUACGGUUUUGCUGUCACUUAUAGAUGGAUCCGCGCCGCAUUAGCUAGUUGGUAAGGUAACGGCUUACCAAGGCAACGAUGCGUAGCCGACCUGAGAGGGUGAUCGGCCACACUGGAGCUGAGACACGGUCCAGACUACUACGGGAGGCCGCAGUAGGGAAUCUUCCGCAAUGGGCGAAAGCCUGACGGAGCAACGCCGCGUGAGUGAUGAAGGUCCUCGGAUCGUAAAACUCUGUUAUUAGGGAAGAACAAAUGUGUAAGUAAAUAUGCACGUCUUGACGGUACCUAAUCAGAAAGCCACGGCUAACUACGUG
Molecule: ribosomal RNA, 497 nt
Filed under: uncultured bacterium
Lineage: Bacteria
Description: partial 16S ribosomal RNA
Rfam family: Bacterial small subunit ribosomal RNA
Source: RNAcentral